AUCGCUGCUCUGCCUUUUGGCAAAGAUCAAGUGUCGUAUCUUCUUAUCAGUUUAAUAUCUGAUACCUAUCGGUGGACUACAUAUUAAACGCUCC
This 94-nucleotide small nuclear RNA is filed under the name Oncorhynchus mykiss (rainbow trout). RNAcentral describes it as "U2 spliceosomal RNA". It matches the Rfam family "U2 spliceosomal RNA". From Rfam's summary of the family: U2 is a small nuclear RNA (snRNA) component of the spliceosome (involved in pre-mRNA splicing). The record is from Rfam by way of RNAcentral. Lineage: Eukaryota; Metazoa; Chordata; Actinopteri; Salmoniformes; Salmonidae.